Molecule: unclassified non-coding RNA, 383 nt
Filed under: soil metagenome
Description: partial contains 5.8S ribosomal RNA, internal transcribed spacer 2, and large subunit ribosomal RNA
Rfam family: 5.8S ribosomal RNA (bases 1-120)
Source: RNAcentral
GAUGAAGAACGCAGCGAAAUGCGAUAAGUAAUGUGAAUUGCAGAAUUCAGUGAAUCAUCGAAUCUUUGAACGCACCUUGCGCUCCUUGGCAUUCCGAGGAGCAUGCCUGUUUGAGUGUCAUGAAAUUCUCAACCUUUCUGGCUUUUGCUAGUCAGGCUUGGAUUAUGGGAGCUGCUGGCUUUUGAAGUCGGCUCUUCUAAAAUGUAUUAGCAAGAUCAUUGCUGCUCAUCGUUGGUAUGAUAAUUAUCUAUAUCAUUGAGAGUCAGUUUCCUUUAUUGGAAGAUUUUGCUCCUAACGGUCUUUAGCAAGACAACAUUUGACGAUUUUGACCUCAAAUCAGGUAGGACUACCCGCUGAACUUAAGCAUAUCAAUAAGCGGAGGA